This 257-nucleotide ribosomal RNA is filed under the name uncultured bacterium. Its description in RNAcentral is "partial 16S ribosomal RNA". It matches the Rfam family "Bacterial small subunit ribosomal RNA", at positions 524 to 776 of the family's 1533-position model. The record is from RNAcentral.
UACGUAGGGGGGCAAGCGUUUGUCCAGGAUUUAUUGGGCGUAAAAGAGCGUGUAGGCGGUUUGGUAGGUCCGCUGUGAAAACUCGAGGCUCAACCUCGAGACGCCGGUGGAAACCAUCAGACUAGAGUCCGGAAGAGGAGAGUGGAAUUCCUGGUGUAGCGGUGAAAUGCGCAGAUAUCAGGAAGAACACCCGUGGCUAAGGCGGCUCUCUAGUACGGUACUGACGCUGAGACGCGAAAGCGUGGGGAGCGAACAGG